Molecule: unclassified non-coding RNA, 358 nt
Filed under: uncultured Helotiales
Lineage: Eukaryota; Fungi; Ascomycota; Leotiomycetes; Helotiales
Description: sequence contains ITS2
Rfam family: 5.8S ribosomal RNA (bases 1-154)
Source: RNAcentral
AACUUUCGACAAUGGAUCUCUUGGUUCUGGCAUCGAUGAAGUACGCAGCGAAAUGCGAUAAGUAAUGUGAAUUGCAGAAUUUAGUGAAUCAUCGAAUCUUUGAACGCACAUUGCGCCCCUUGGUAUUCCGAGGGGCAUGCCUGUUCGAGCGUCAUAUAACCAAUCAAGCCUGGCUUGGUAUUGGGGCCCGCCCUCCAGCGGCCUCUAAACUCAGUGGCGGUGCCGUUCGGCUCUCAGCGUAGUAAUUCUUCUCGCUACAGGGCCUCGCGGUUGCUUGCCAUAACCCCAACUUCUUAAGGUUGACCUCGGAUCAGGUAGGGAUACCCGCUGAACUUAAGCAUAUCAAUAAGCGGAGGCU